RNAcentral lists this ribosomal RNA (305 nucleotides) under uncultured bacterium. RNAcentral's name for it is "partial 16S ribosomal RNA". It matches the Rfam family "Bacterial small subunit ribosomal RNA", at positions 508 to 807 of the family's 1533-position model. The record is from RNAcentral.
ACAGCAGCCGCCGCGGUAAUACGAAGGGUGCAAGCGUUAAUCGGAAUUACUGGGCGUAAAGCGUGCGUAGGCGGUUUGUUAAGUCUGCUGUGAAAUCCCCGGGCUCAACCUGGGAAUGGCAGUGGAUACUGGCAAGCUAGAGUGUGUCAGAGGAUGGUGGAAUUCCCGGUGUAGCGGUGAAAUGCGUAGAGAUCGGGAGGAACAUCAGUGGCGAAGGCGGCCAUCUGGGACAACACUGACGCUGAGGCACGAAAGCGUGGGGAGCAAACAGGAUUAGAUACCCCCGUAGUCCCUGUCUCUUAUAC